UCGAGCGAAGCGCUUGAAUCUGAUUCUUCGGAUGAGGAUUCUUGUGACUGAGCGGCGGACGGGUGAGUAACGCGUGGGCAACCUGCCUUACACAGGGGGAUAACAGUUAGAAAUGACUGCUAAUACCGCAUAAGACCGCAGUACCGCAUGGUACAGCGGUAAAAACUCCGGUGGUGUAAGAUGGGCCCGCGUCUGAUUAGGUAGUUGGCGGGGUAACGGCCCACCAAGCCGACGAUCAGUAGCCGACCUGAGAGGGUGACCGGCCACAUUGGGACUGAGACACGGCCCAGACUCCUACGGGAGGCAGCAGUGGGGAAUAUUGCACAAUGGGGGAAACCCUGAUGCAGCGACGCCGCGUGAGCGAUGAAGUAUUUCGGUAUGUAAAGCUCUAUCAGCAGGGAAGAAAAUGACGGUACCUGACUAAGAAGCCCCGGCUAACUACGUGCCAGCAGCCGCGGUAAUACGUAGGGGGCAAGCGUUAUCCGGAUUUACUGGGUGUAAAGGGAGCGUAGACGGCUGUGCAAGCCAGAUGUGAAAGCCCGGGGCUCAACCCCGGGACUGCAUUUGGAACUGUGUGGCUGGAGUGUCGGAGAGGCAGGCGGAAUUCCUAGUGUAGCGGUGAAAUGCGUAGAUAUUAGGAGGAACACCAGUGGCGAAGGCGGCCUGCUGGACGAUGACUGACGUUGAGGCUCGAAAGCGUGGGG
RNAcentral lists this ribosomal RNA (704 nucleotides) under uncultured bacterium. Its description in RNAcentral is "bacterial SSU rRNA". It matches the Rfam family "Bacterial small subunit ribosomal RNA", at positions 62 to 766 of the family's 1533-position model. The record is from RNAcentral.